Molecule: ribosomal RNA, 1081 nt
Filed under: Salmonella enterica
Lineage: Bacteria; Pseudomonadati; Pseudomonadota; Gammaproteobacteria; Enterobacterales; Enterobacteriaceae
Also listed under: 1 other name
Description: bacterial SSU rRNA
Rfam family: Bacterial small subunit ribosomal RNA
Source: RNAcentral
GAGUAAUGUCUGGGAAACUGCCUGAUGGAGGGGGAUAACUACUGGAAACGGUGGCUAAUACCGCAUAACGUCGCAAGACCAAAGAGGGGGACCUUCGGGCCUCUUGCCAUCAGAUGUGCCCAGAUGGGAUUAGCUUGUUGGUGAGGUAACGGCUCACCAAGGCGACGAUCCCUAGCUGGUCUGAGAGGAUGACCAGCCACACUGGAACUGAGACACGGUCCAGACUCCUACGGGAGGCAGCAGUGGGGAAUAUUGCACAAUGGGCGCAAGCCUGAUGCAGCCAUGCCGCGUGUAUGAAGAAGGCCUUCGGGUUGUAAAGUACUUUCAGCGGGGAGGAAGGUGUUGUGGUUAAUAACCGCAGCAAUUGACGUUACCCGCAGAAGAAGCACCGGCUAACUCCGUGCCAGCAGCCGCGGUAAUACGGAGGGUGCAAGCGUUAAUCGGAAUUACUGGGCGUAAAGCGCACGCAGGCGGUCUGUCAAGUCGGAUGUGAAAUCCCCGGGCUCAACCUGGGAACUGCAUUCGAAACUGGCAGGCUUGAGUCUUGUAGAGGGGGGUAGAAUUCCAGGUGUAGCGGUGAAAUGCGUAGAGAUCUGGAGGAAUACCGGUGGCGAAGGCGGCCCCCUGGACAAAGACUGACGCUCAGGUGCGAAAGCGUGGGGAGCAAACAGGAUUAGAUACCCUGGUAGUCCACGCCGUAAACGAUGUCUACUUGGAGGUUGUGCCCUUGAGGCGUGGCUUCCGGAGCUAACGCGUUAAGUAGACCGCCUGGGGAGUACGGCCGCAAGGUUAAAACUCAAAUGAAUUGACGGGGGCCCGCACAAGCGGUGGAGCAUGUGGUUUAAUUCGAUGCAACGCGAAGAACCUUACCUGGUCUUGACAUCCACAGAAGAAUCCAGAGAUGGAUUUGUGCCUUCGGGAACUGUGAGACAGGUGCUGCAUGGCUGUCGUCAGCUCGUGUUGUGAAAUGUUGGGUUAAGUCCCGCAACGAGCGCAACCCUUAUCCUUUGUUGCCAGCGGUUAGGCCGGGAACUCAAAGGAGACUGCCAGUGAUAAACUGGAGGAAGGUGGGGAUGACGUC